CGAGCACGCGGCCACUCUCCC
This 21-nucleotide microRNA is filed under the name Sus scrofa (pig). RNAcentral's name for it is "ssc-miR-9810-3p". The record is from miRBase by way of RNAcentral. Lineage: Eukaryota; Metazoa; Chordata; Mammalia; Artiodactyla; Suidae.